UACGUAGGGUGCAAGCGUUGUCCGGAAUUAUUGGGCGUAAAGAGCUCGUAGGCGGUUUGUUGCGUCGGCUGUGAAAUCCCGAGGCUCAACCUCGGGUCUGCAGUCGAUACGAGCAAACUAGAGUGUUGCAGGGGAGACUGGAAUUCCUGGUGUAGCGGUGAAAUGCGCGGAUAUCAGGAGGAACACCGGUGGCGAAGGCGGGUCUCUGGGCAACAACUGACGCUGAGGAGCGAAAGCGUGGGGAGCGAACAGG
This 253-nucleotide ribosomal RNA is filed under the name uncultured bacterium. RNAcentral describes it as "partial 16S ribosomal RNA". It matches the Rfam family "Bacterial small subunit ribosomal RNA", at positions 524 to 776 of the family's 1533-position model. The record is from RNAcentral.